Molecule: ribosomal RNA, 250 nt
Filed under: uncultured bacterium
Lineage: Bacteria
Description: partial 16S ribosomal RNA
Rfam family: Bacterial small subunit ribosomal RNA
Source: RNAcentral
UACGGAGGGUCCAAGCGUUAUCCGGAUUCAUUGGGUUUAAAGGGUACGUAGGCGGAUAAAUAAGUCAGUGGUGAAAGCCCGAAGCUCAACUUCGGAACUGCCAUUGAUACUGUUUAUCUUGAAUUUGGUUGAAGUGGGCGGAAUAUGACAUGUAGCGGUGAAAUGCAUAGAUAUGUCAUGGAACACCAAUAGUGAAGACAGCUCACUAAGCCAAUAUUGACGCUGAGGUACGAAAGCAUGGGUAGCGAAC